GCCGGGUGUGGUGGCUCACACCUGUAAUCCCAGCACCUGGGAGGCUGAGGUGGGUGGAUCACUUGAGGUCAGGAGUUGGAGACCAGCCUGGCCAAUAUGGCGAAACCCUGUCUCUACUAAAAAUACAAAAAUUAGACGGGCAUGGUGGCACGUGCCUGUAAUCGUAGCUACUCGGGAGGCUGAGGCAGGAGAAUCACUUGAACCUGGGAGGCAGAGGUUGCAGUGAGCCAAGAUCAUGCCACUGCGCUCCAGCCUGGGCAACAGAGUGAGACUCUGUCUCA
Molecule: small RNA, 281 nt
Filed under: Homo sapiens (human)
Lineage: Eukaryota; Metazoa; Chordata; Mammalia; Primates; Hominidae
Description: Metazoan signal recognition particle RNA (ENSG00000274206.1)
Rfam family: Metazoan signal recognition particle RNA (bases 1-116)
Source: RNAcentral